AGGACUAUAGUUAAAUAUAACAUUUAGUUUGCAAUUAAAAAGUGUUCAAAGAACUAGUCUUU
Molecule: transfer RNA, 62 nt
Filed under: Scaphoideus nigrivalveus
Lineage: Eukaryota; Metazoa; Arthropoda; Insecta; Hemiptera; Cicadellidae
Description: tRNA-Ala
Rfam family: tRNA
About the family: Transfer RNA (tRNA) molecules are approximately 80 nucleotides in length. Their secondary structure includes four short double-helical elements and three loops (D, anti-codon, and T loops). Further hydrogen bonds mediate the characteristic L-shaped molecular structure. tRNAs have two regions of fundamental functional importance: the anti-codon, which is responsible for specific mRNA codon recognition, and the 3' end, to which the tRNAs corresponding amino acid is attached (by aminoacyl-tRNA synthetases). tRNAs cope with the degeneracy of the genetic code in two manners: having more than one tRNA (with a specific anti-codon) for a particular amino acid; and 'wobble' base-pairing, i.e. permitting non-standard base-pairing at the 3rd anti-codon position.
Source: RNAcentral